Molecule: ribosomal RNA, 253 nt
Filed under: uncultured bacterium
Lineage: Bacteria
Description: partial 16S ribosomal RNA
Rfam family: Bacterial small subunit ribosomal RNA
Source: RNAcentral
UACGUAGGGGGCAAGCGUUGUCCGGAUUUAUUGGGCGUAAAGAGCGUGUAGGCGGCCAUACAGGUCCGUUGUGAAAACUGGAGGCUUAACCUCCAGACGUCGAUGGAAACCGUAUGGCUAGAGUCCGGAAGAGGAGAGUGGAAUUCCUGGUGUAGCGGUGAAAUGCGCAGAUAUCAGGAAGAACACCCGUGGCGAAGGCGGCUCUCUGGGACGGUACUGACGCUGAGGAACGAAAGCUAGGGGAGCAAACGGG